Molecule: long non-coding RNA, 334 nt
Organism: Sinocyclocheilus grahami
Lineage: Eukaryota; Metazoa; Chordata; Actinopteri; Cypriniformes; Cyprinidae
Exons: 4
Source: RefSeq, a predicted model, not a curated record
GGGCCAUAGUGGGCUGGCCCUUCAGUGCCCUGCUGGGCAUACCCAUUGCCUUUGACCUGCUGUUUCUGAAGAAGAAGUGGAAGAGUUUUAUCACGUGGACUCUGGUGGCGUUGCUCCUCUUUCUGGUCCCUGUUGUUGUAGUAGACAGCUACUACUAUGGAAAGCUGGUGAUUGCUCCUCUGAAUAUACUACUAUACAACGUGUUCACUCCUCAUGGGCCAGAUCUUUAUGGCACAGAGCCCUGGCAUUACUACUUUGUGAAUGGUUUCCUUAAUUUCAACAUUGUAUUUGUGUUGGCCCUCUUUUCUCUUCCUCUCACGGCACUUAUGGAGGC